This 72-nucleotide transfer RNA is filed under the name Camelus ferus (Wild Bactrian camel). It matches the Rfam family "tRNA". Rfam says of the family: Transfer RNA (tRNA) molecules are approximately 80 nucleotides in length. Their secondary structure includes four short double-helical elements and three loops (D, anti-codon, and T loops). The record is from Rfam by way of RNAcentral. Lineage: Eukaryota; Metazoa; Chordata; Mammalia; Artiodactyla; Camelidae.
GAGCGUAUAGCUCAGGGAUAGAGUGCGUGCUUAGCAUGCAUGAGGUCCUGGGUUCAGUUCCCAGUACCUCCA